RNAcentral lists this long non-coding RNA (2632 nucleotides) under Triticum aestivum (bread wheat). RNAcentral's name for it is "long non-coding RNA (TAES_LNC001359)". The record is from RNAcentral. Lineage: Eukaryota; Viridiplantae; Streptophyta; Magnoliopsida; Poales; Poaceae.
AGAAAAAUAGACCGAAUAUCACCAAGUUCAAAGACUGAAUAAAUGAAUCAUACAGAAUAUUGUCAAAACCCCGUAUUUUUCUCACUAAAACAAAGUUAUGUACUUGCAUACAACCCUCUUUGAACUUGGACGGCACCUAGUGCUCAACUUGGACGAUGACCAAUGCUCAACUCGAACGGAGGAGCUUCCAUUGCAGUGGAGAAGACAUUGACAUGCACUGGAGCUUGGCGUGCUGGAGUGAUACACUUCACGCCUACCUAAUGUCACGGUACCCUGCACACACACCAGCCAACAAUUAACCAUGUGGACUAAAUUGGAGCUACAAUAUGAAUUGAACUGGAUGAAAUUUAGAAAUUGAACUAACAAAAGAAACUAGACACCACAUGUACAUCAAAUAAAAAAGUGGAGUAGUUAGUACCAACUACUAAACUAAUGUACUGGAUAUUGAACUUAUAGAUUGUAUGUUGGCGAACUUUUACACUUGCCGGGAGUAAUCAACAUGAACUUUUACACUUGACGGAAAGUUGUAAAAUAUCUGCAGAACUGAAGGAUAUGCUUUUUGUAUUAUCUCUGAUCACAAUGAACAAAGUAUUUAGAACUGACGCAUAUAUGAUACUAGAUCAAUACUAAAAUGGAUAAUAUUUGUUUAAGUUUCUAUGUAUGAACCUACCAAAUUUCUAAACAUGAACUUCUCGCUAGGGUUAUUCUUCGGUAUUGAAAACUGUUUUCUGCAUUAACAACAAGCACCUAAAGAGCAUCAUGUUUUCUACAAGUAUAUAUGAACUUUUGAGAGGACACUUUAUUUAUUUCACUGCAUUUUCUCCACAAUUGGAGCGACAAAUGCCAUCUGUUUUUUUUGUAAAAUGGAAGUACAAAAACAUUUGUAACAUGAAUUUUUGCUAAUGGACAUGUACUGAUAAAAUACCACAGUUAUUUGUUGUCAAACUGUACUUAGUUUGGACAAGCAGCUCAGCCACUUUUGGCACAUGUAUUAACAUAUCUAGUUGACAAGUGGUACCAAAUGUCUGAAACUAGAAAAAGUACAGAAGCUGAAUCAACACAGUACAACUCUUUGCCCCAUGCAGCAAAGUGUGAGAAGAGAUGUAAACUAAUGAAUUCUCACCCAGUUGCGGUUGUUUCUUUUUGGAAUCCAUUGAACUGAAAAAACCCGACAAUGUGUACUGAAAAACUAACUACAACGUGAAAUGAAAACAACAUACAAGUGUAGAUGGGGGCAUUGAUCUGGAGCUCGAUCCGGCACGGGGAGACGGCAGAGUUGCCGGCUGGGUUGCGGGGUGACUGAAACUAAUGAAGAUCCAAACUAGUAUAUUUAUCUAUCGUAAGAAGAUAGAAUUAUGAACUGAUGAAAACUUAUAUCAUGAACUGAUACACAUAGUAUAGAUAUAUCUUUCUCUGGACAAGAAAAAAGAAUUCUCCAGACAACCAUCAUAUUGCAGAGACUAAUUAAGCUCUAUUUUUUGUGGCCAUCCAGCAACAACAUUCUUACAAACAUGGUGCACACAAACUGUCAUUGCGCAAUAAGAAACUACAAUUAAUUAGCCUACGAUGCUCUAGUUCAGCUACACUGCAACAAUUCAUUAUUUUUUUGUAUACCACCAUCAACCAUGGCAGUGGCACUUAUCAUCUAAAAACACAUAGUGGAAUGUUCAACAAACAACUAGUAAAACUGCGGGUAGAAGCAGGCAUGUAUGCAUCAACACUGCAGCAUGGGCCUACGGAUUACCGCUUUCCUAGAUUUUUGAACGUAUGCUUUUUAUCUUCAUGAAGUUACCCAUGUUUUCUAAGCAAGAUGUGCACUCCCCAAAACAGAGUGUACUUACUAGCCAUCAGUAAUCGAACUUCAAGCAUUGUGUGUGUGUAAAAUAUACUUUUUUAACCAAAGUGAACCCUAGUUUGUAGGCGAACCUUUUCAUGUAGAUGUACAGACAUGAAAAGGCUAUGAUGAUAGAAGUGUUGUAUAAAGCUCCACAAAGAAGAAGAAUCUUCUUUGCCAAAUGAAUCAUACAAAAUAUUAACCAAAAAUCAUUAGUAUACACAUUAUCCAGAUAUCUCAUAAGCCAUUUUGUGUACAACAUCAUUAUCAAGCACAAGUGCUAUAGGAAGAAGAUUGAAACACUAAAUAAAUUGGACUUACCAAUGGAAAGUCGAUGAACCGAAAAGCAUAUAGAAGAUGAAUUUGUGAAUCUGGCUUUGUUAUGCAUCCUGCAAGAAAAUAAGAACUAUAACAAUAAAGCAUUACCACACUGAUUUACUUGUUUCACUAUUAAAAAUGGGUUUCAAACACAACUUCUAAGCAGACAGUGCUUACUUUUGCUCUCCCACUUGGACUGAACAGGCAAAAACAGAACGCAUCACUUGCGCUAACAAUGUAGAAAUCCAAUGAACACAAAAAAUAUAGAAUUAUUCCGAUACCUCGGGCGAAUGGCUCUGCAUAUGUCGCUUCAGAUGAGUCGGUUGGACUGAUUUCCUUCUCCCAUCUGGACAAAUAAAUUGUAGAACUUGCACGUCGACGUCGCAAAACUCACACUUUGGACGGAUCUCCUUCUUCCAUCUGGACUGACAGUUGCAGAACUUCCAUCAGGCAACAAACGUAACAAGCACGAAUACAGCG